AAGAGCUCAAAAAUAACCGAUGCAUUGUUAGAAAAAGAAAUAAAGACACAACAGGGAAGACUUAUCAAAGAAAUACUUUGCUGGGGAAAAGCAAUCAUCAAAAAGGGGAAAACCCAACACCAACAGGAGAGGAAUAUUACCUAACUAUCAACUGACCGAUAGCUUAACAAAGGUAAUAAACCAAAGGGAAUGAUUACCAACUACCAGCCAAAUGAUACUUAACAAAGGUAACCAAUCAUAGGUAAAAGGAAU
RNAcentral lists this long non-coding RNA (252 nucleotides) under Lathyrus oleraceus (garden pea). RNAcentral's name for it is "Pisum sativum (pea) long non-coding RNA (PSAT_LNC033931)". Lineage: Eukaryota; Viridiplantae; Streptophyta; Magnoliopsida; Fabales; Fabaceae. The record is from RNAcentral.